This is a long non-coding RNA of Clupea harengus (Atlantic herring), 637 nucleotides long. The record is from Ensembl. Lineage: Eukaryota; Metazoa; Chordata; Actinopteri; Clupeiformes; Clupeidae.
GUGUGUUUGUGAGGGUGUGUUUUUGUGAAUGUGUUUGUUUGUGUGAGUGUGUGAGUGUGUUGUGACAGUGUGAGUAUGUUGUGAGAGUGAGAGCGUGUUUGUGAGAGUGUGUUUGUGUGAGAGUGUGAGUGUGUUGUGAGAGGGUGUGAGUGUGAGUGUGUUGUGUGAGUUGUGUUGUGAGACUGUGCGUGUGUUGUGUGAGUGUGUUUGUGAGAGUGUGAGUGUGUUGUGAGACUGUGAGUGUGUUGUGUGAGUGUGUUUGUGAGAGUGUGAGUGUGUUGUUGUGUUUGAGAGAGUAUGAGUGUGUUUGUGAGAGUGUGUUUGUGAGAGUGUGUUUGUGAGAGUGUGAGUGUGAGAGUGUGUUUGUGAGAGUGUGAGUGUGUUUGUGAGAGUGUGUUUGUGAGAGUGUGAGUGUGUUUUUGAGAGAGUAUGAGUGUGUUUGUGUUUGUGUUUGUGACUGAGUGUGAGCGUGUUUGUGUGUGUGUAACAGUGAAGAUUUGGUUUCUUCCACUUGCAUCCUUUUUGUGCUAUUUAAUCACACUGAGCAUGUGCAUAAGUCAUGUUGUUGGGGAUAUAGUGACCUCUAGGGGAUACAUGUUGAACUGAGUGGCUCUCCUCAGAGUUUGAAGGGUUAGAG